CUGAGGGCUGGUCCUCAUCCUCGGACCCUGUGACUGAGCGUAUUUAAGAGCUGCUCCUGGACCUUGUUCAACAGCUCACACUUUGAGGCUGCAUUGGUUCUGAUUCUGAGGACAUACUUCACUAACGGUCAUCGUGUUAUUUACCAUCUGCGGCGUCGCCACCAUGAGGUUCCUGAUCCUGUCUCUGUUUCUCUGUGCCGUCGUGGCUCUGCCUCGAGCUGCAGCUUUUCCAGCCCCAGAGGAUGAACCUCAACCACCGGAGGUUGAAGAGGGUUCAACAGGAGACGUUUCAGAACCUUCAAAUGAGAUAAAAGGAAGUCCAGAAGAGGGUGAUUCUUCAAGUGCAGAUGAGUCUUCAGAUGGCAACACUUCUUCAGAUGAGGAUGAGUCUUCAGAUGGUGAUAGUUCUUCAGAUGAAACCACUGACGCCCCUGAAGCCACUGAGGGGCCUGAAGCCGAUGACACCACUGAAGCCGAUGAUGUCGCUGAAGUCGAUGACGUCGCUGAAGUCGAUGACGCAGAUGGCGCUGAUGCUGAUGACACCCCUGAAGCUGAUGACUCCGAUGGUGCUGAUGACACCCCUGAAGCUGAUGACUCCGAUGGUGCUGAUGAUGCUGCUGAUGCCGAUGACACCGCUGAAGCUGAUGACUCCGCUGAUGACUCUGCUGAUGACGCCGCUGAUGACACAGACAACUCAGACAACUGAGACACAGUUGCCGCACCAACUCCCUAAAGAUGCACGAUUAGCAUGGAUGCCUGG
This 760-nucleotide long non-coding RNA is filed under the name Betta splendens (Siamese fighting fish). RNAcentral's name for it is "lncRNA (ENSBSLG00000001387.1)". Lineage: Eukaryota; Metazoa; Chordata; Actinopteri; Anabantiformes; Osphronemidae. The record is from RNAcentral.